GACGAACGCUGGCGGCGUGCCUAAUACAUGCCAGUAGAACGCACAGUUUAUACCGUAGCUUGCUACACCAUAGACUGUGAGUUGCGAACGGGUGAGUAACGCGUAGGUAACCUGCCUGGUAGCGGGGGAUAACUAUUGGAAACGAUAGCUAAUACCGCAUAAUAUUGAUUAUUGCAUGAUAAUUGAUUGAAAGAUGCUAUUGCAUCACUACCAGAUGGACCUGCGUUGUAUUAGCUAGUAGGUGAGGUAACGGCUCACCUAGGCGACGAUACAUAGCCGACCUGAGAGGGCGAGCGGCCACACUGGGACUGAGACACGGCCCAGACGCCUACGGGAGGCAGCAGGAGGGAAUCUUCGGCAAGGGACGAAAGUCUGACCGAGCUACGCCGAGUGAGUGAAGAAGGGUGUCGGAUCGGAAAGCUCGGUUGUAAGAGAAGAACGGGUGUGAGAGUGGAAAGUUCACACUGUGACGGUAUCUUACCAGAAAGGGACGGCUAACUACGUG
RNAcentral lists this ribosomal RNA (505 nucleotides) under uncultured bacterium. RNAcentral's name for it is "partial 16S ribosomal RNA". It matches the Rfam family "Bacterial small subunit ribosomal RNA", at positions 28 to 507 of the family's 1533-position model. The record is from RNAcentral.